CUCCUCGCUGCCCGCCUCCUCCCUGGCUGCCAGGCGGAGGCCCCCAGCUCAGCUGCAGGAAGCCUGUGAAGGCAGUCAGUGCGUUUCUGCAGCAAGAAAUGGGGCCAGUGCGGAAAUGUGAGCGUCAGCCCACCCUCAGCGCCCUAAGAGCAAGAGUCUUGUGGGAUUGAGUGAAGAGCUCAUUGGCAGAAAGACCAAAGGCUUCUCCACCUGUCCACACACCCAUCAUUCAUCUAGAGCUCAGAAGUGGGGUGAUGGUCACGGAGAUGGAUAUUGCCCCCUUAAUUUGAACUGAAAGAUGAAGACACGCUUUCCUCUUGGGGAAAGCAUGUCUGAUUGGCUUAUUGGACCAACAAUGAGGACUGGCUUUGCCAACUGCUUGUACAGUGGAUAUUUCCCAUGAAUCAGAUGAAUUAAGUCUAUAGCUGCAACAUUUUGUCAAAAAUAUGGCCGGGCGCGGUGGCUCACGCCUGUAAUUCCAACACUUUGCGAUGCCGAGGCAGAGAGAUCACCUGAAGUCAGGAGUUCAAGACCAGCCUGGCCAACAUGGCAAAACCCCGUCUCUACUAAAAAAAAAAAAAAAUACAAAAAUUAGCCUAGCAUGGUGGCAUGUGUCUGUAAAUCCCAGCUACUCAGGAGGCUGAGGCAGAAGAAUUGCUUGAACCUGGGAGGUGGAGGUUGCAGUGAGCCAAGAUCAUGCCAUCACUCCAGCCUGGGUGACAGAGCAAGACUCCAUCUCAAAAAAAAAAAAAAAAAAAAAAAAAAAAUAUAUAUAUAUAUAUAUAUAUAUAUGAAUCAUAUUACAAGAGCCUUUAACAAUAGUUUGGGGGGAAAGUAUAUUGAAAUUAAAAACAUUAAAUUUUUCCAAUUCUUUCUGCAAAUGUCUGGUUAAACAAGGUGCCUUUAUUUAAGUGAAAGAGUGACAGGUAUAAUCACCAGCUCCUGGGUGACUCUUGGAAAACUCUUUUUGGUGCACUGUUAUGCUGGACCCCUGUUGACUUCAAUAGGGAUGGC
Molecule: long non-coding RNA, 1014 nt
Filed under: Homo sapiens (human)
Lineage: Eukaryota; Metazoa; Chordata; Mammalia; Primates; Hominidae
Description: HSALNT0318061
Source: RNAcentral